Non-coding RNA from Arachis ipaensis, 3318 nucleotides. Lineage: Eukaryota; Viridiplantae; Streptophyta; Magnoliopsida; Fabales; Fabaceae. The record is from RefSeq and is a predicted model, not a curated record.
AGUAAAUUAGGAUUCAUCGAAUUCAUUUGUUGGGUUCGUUGGUUUUUUUAUGAGGCUAGCAACUGAUGAAAGUUGGGUAGGAUGACAGUGAUAGGUUGGGUCUCACAAUAAGAAUUAGGCUUCACUUUGGCCCAUUUGGCAUAUUUGCUACUUGUUUGAGAAAAGAAAUGAAGCACUCAACUUCGGAAGAGAAGGAGGAAAGUGCCCAUCAAAGUGAAGAGCACUGUGAUCGAAAAAGCAGCAGAAACCACUGAUGUUAAUGCCUCACUAGUAAAAUGACUGUGGUCAUUAUGUAUUUAGAUUUUCUGAAUCAUCUUAUCAUAUGCAUAUCAGCUUAUUGUUUUUUUUUUUGUACUUUAUUUUUGUUGUCUUGUUUUGUUGUUAAAUGAGGUUGCAAAAGGUACUGAUGGUGGACGCAGGCUGAGUCUAGAGGAGAACAUGUUCAAUGACUUGACUAUGAUUCAAGAGCACGUACUGUCGGAUAAGGAUGUAACAAAGACGAUUCUGAAGAACCAUAAUGACCAGCUGCGCACCAUUAGCGAGCUUCUGGAAGAUCAUGGGAAAGCCAUUCAAGUCUUGAUAAUGCUAGUCAACACUGCCAAUGACAAUAAACCCAGGAAAAAGGUCUCCAAAGCACGUUGACCAUGCCUAAAACUAAAGGAAGGAAAGAUACGGAUAACGGGAAUCUGGCAGAAUCUCGCUGGGAGAAAAAGCCUGUGCGGGUGCAUGCAUCCUCCUGGAAAGCAAUUGGUGAAAAGGACUAUGUAUUCCUCCUCUAACAGGAAGGCUGCAGCAAUGACGAAUAAGCAUAGUAGCCAUUGUCGACCAGCGACGGGAGCCGAAGCGAAGUUGACCUCGUUGAAGGUGAUGUGUGAUAUAUUCAACGUGCCGUUAGGUUUUGAUGCCCAUACAUGUGCCUAAUUCCAGAGAAAAACUUGAUUGUUUUUUCUUUCGACAGCAGAAGCUAACCUUUGAGGACCUGGAUUCAUCGGCUUCACUGGGUUUCGACGUCAGGCAAACUGAUCCUGAGACUCUAUUCACUUACCACAGUCAUCAUGGACACCAUGCUGCCGAGGACAUGCCCCUGGUAAGUCCAUUUUCAUUAUAUAUGUACGUUUCAGGUCUAGUACUUGUAAUUCUCAUAUCGUGGUUGAUGCGACUGACUGUAACGUACGGUUACACAGUGCUUGAAUGUCUCAUUUCCUCCCCCGACAGGAAUGCACUUUGUCAGCAAAGAGCUUGUUGUUGUGGCAUACAUAUUCUCAUCGGAUUUGGACAUGAGGUAAAAUUACUUCUUACUAGCCCAUGACGAAGAAAGUGGGAGUUUGUUAUCACAUGUGUUUUGCUUGCUAUUGUAGAAAUAAUUGCUUACUGAACACUAAACUUGUUGCAUCCAGGGAGGUUCUUCUUGAGGAUGAAAAUGCUCGAGGAGACUGAGGUGCACUUACUACACUAUGUCCUGGGCAACUAGUAGUUGAGGAUGUAAGUAUAUGUUGUCAUUGACGAUUGGAAUCGUGACGAAAGUAAUAGUUUAACUAACACUUAUUCCAUUUUCUUGUAGGUUAUAAAUCUGAGUUGAACAAUGCUAACUUAUGACAAUAAACUCCCAUCCUGGUUUCUUGCAAUCACCUUUUCGGUAGUAUUUCUCUAUUAACUUAUGAUUUUACAUAAUUCGUAAUACUAAACCCUCACAUAUCAAUUAACCCAUCGACGUAUGCCUUUGCAGCAAGUGGCACUUAUCUCAAUGAAUCAUGGUAUAGACACAUUUGAGUACAUCCACACUAGGUUCAUGGGCAUUGCAGAUGACGUCUAGAUGAUGAGUCUAGCAACCCACAACUUGAAAUUGUCAUUCGGAAUUGCUUAAUUUUGUACUUAUGUUUCGAUCUUGACUAUGGUGCUGGCUCAGAUAUACGUCCUGAUAUAUAGAGACUAUCAUUGGUACCUCAUGGUAGUGGAUUUAAUAAAUUGCAGGUUGCUGUGUUUGGAUUUGGAUUUGGCAAAGCAUGAUGACCAUAGAGAAGUUAGGGUGUCACAAAUGAAAUUCGUGUCUUUCUUCAUUGAGAACAUGCUGGAGGAUAAGAGAUUUUGGAAAAAACCAGACAAUUACAAGCCACACCCAUCAACUUUCGAUGUUAUUGAGCCAACAGUUGGCUAGCAAGGAAUGAUUGUGGAGUUUGGGUGUGUCAAUGGAUAAUGAAAAAUUGGGUUUGGGGUAAUAUUGAGUUAGAGGUAAGUCACUGACAUCCUUAAACGAGGAGUUGCUUUGGUUUAAUUUUCGUCCGCCAUCGUAGUAUAUAAGAGCUUCAGUUUCCGAAAACCAUCAUCUACUUAGAAGAUAUUGUUUUGUAGGAGGUAAAUGAACAAACAAGGUUGAGGUUAGCUCUUGAUUUGGCAUCUUCUUCCUCCUCCGUGCUCUCCUCUCCUUACUACGUCGCUACGCCGCUUCUUCGUGCGCUCCUCUCCUCGCAAUGCCACUGCUUCGUGGCCUCCUCUCCUCGCUACGUUGUGUGACGCCGCUGCUCCAUUCUCUCCUUGGCAAUUAAAUUUAGAAUGGAUAGUACCAACAUGAAUGUAGUGGCUCAAGAACAACAAGAAGAAAUUCCUGUUGAAGAAACUACAAAUUUUUGUUCCGAACGAGUUUGCCUCAAUUGAAAAUAGCAACAAAUCUUUAUUGAAAAGUGUUUAUUGGCAAUACUUUAGUAGAUAUAAAGAGGGGGAAGAGUGGAAGGCAAAGUGCAACCAUUGUAUGUCUGUUAUUGGUGCCAAUCCAAGGAAUGGGACUACAAAUUUGAAGAAACAUGUACUCCAUUAUUGUAAGAGAAUAAAAUUAGCAAACUCAAGACAAUCAACAAUUGCUAAAUCUCUUCAAAGACAUGGGAAGAGUAGUUCAGAUGCUUUUCUAUUUGAUGGAUCUCACACAAAAAAAUUAAUUGCCAAGUUCAUUUGUAUGCAUGAGUAUCCUUUGUCAUAUGUGGAUCAUGUUGCAAUAAGGAAAGUGUUUACUUCAAUGCAACCAACGUUUAAGAUGCCAAGCCGAAACACAAUCAAGAUGAUUCAUGCAAAUGAUAGUCGAGUAGCUAUUACAACUGACAUGUGGACUUCCAACCAGAAAAAGGGUAUAUGGUUGUUACAACAUACUACAUUGAUAGUUCAUAGAAUUUGCAAAUACUAGUAUUGAGGUAAUACCUUAAACUUUGCUUCUAGUAUAUGAUAUGCUUUCUAAUGCUUGAUAUACUUGUAAUAUUUUUUUAUCUGAUAUAUUUUUAACAAUGUUCAGCUUUAUUUAUGUUCCUACUCCUCAUUCAAAUGAAGUUCUCU